This 495-nucleotide ribosomal RNA is filed under the name uncultured bacterium. RNAcentral's name for it is "bacterial SSU rRNA". It matches the Rfam family "Bacterial small subunit ribosomal RNA", at positions 28 to 515 of the family's 1533-position model. The record is from RNAcentral.
GACGAACGCUGGCGGCGUGGAUUAGGCAUGCAAGUCGAACGGUAGGAUACCUUCGGGUAUCUGAGAGUGGCGAACGGGUGAGUAACACGUAGGUGAUCUACCCUCAAGAUUGGGACAACCCAGGGAAACUUGGGCUAAUACCGGAUGAAAGCAGCAGUGAUGUUGUUUGAAAGGUGGCGUAAGCUGCCGUUUGGGGAUGAGCCUGCGCUCUAUUAGUUAGUUGGCGGGGUAAAGGCCCACCAAGGCGAUGAUAGAUAGGCGGCCUUAACGGGUGGUCGCCCACACUGGGGAUUGAGAUACGGCCCAGACUCCUACGGGAGGCAGCAGUCGAGAAUAGUCUACAAUGGCCGAAAGGCUGAUAGUGCGACGCCGCGUGAACGAAGAAGCCCUUCGGGUGUAAGUUCUUUUAUAUGUGAGCAGUGCUUUCUAUGUGAACAGCAUGGGGAGAGAGAUAUUAGCAUAUGAAUAAGCAACGGCUAACUCCGUGCCAGCACG